Transfer RNA from Nadsonia fulvescens var. elongata DSM 6958, 118 nucleotides. It matches the Rfam family "tRNA". From Rfam's summary of the family: Transfer RNA (tRNA) molecules are approximately 80 nucleotides in length. Their secondary structure includes four short double-helical elements and three loops (D, anti-codon, and T loops). Lineage: Eukaryota; Fungi; Ascomycota; Dipodascomycetes; Dipodascales. The record is from Rfam.
UUCCUUGUGGCCCAAUGGCAAGGCGUUCGGCUACGAUUUCUGUGAAUCAGAAACGUACGUUUAACGUGUGUUACAAGUCACUACCGAAAGAUUCCAGGUUCGACCCCUGGCAAGGAAG